UACGGAGGUUGCAAGCGUUGUUCGGAAUGACUGGGCGUAAAGGGAGCGCAGGCGGCUUGUUAAGUCUGGAGUGAAAGCCCGGGGCUCAACCCCGGCGGGUCUUCGGAUACUGGCAAGCUUGAGUACGGAAGAGGAGAGUGGAAUUCCAGGUGUAGCGGUGAAAUGCGUAGAUAUCUGGAGGAACACCGGUGGCGAAAGCGGCUCUCUGGUCCGAUACUGACGCUCAGGCUCGAAAGCGUGGGGAGCAAACGGG
This 253-nucleotide ribosomal RNA is filed under the name uncultured bacterium. RNAcentral's name for it is "partial 16S ribosomal RNA". It matches the Rfam family "Bacterial small subunit ribosomal RNA", at positions 524 to 776 of the family's 1533-position model. The record is from RNAcentral.